AGUAAUGUCAUUGUCAUAAGUAUUUUGAAAUAGCACGAAAUUCAUUCACGGAAAACGGAAACAAUUUAUCAUGUUUGUUUCUCUGAAAAAAAAUCUAACCAACGAUUCAACUUUACUAAUUUUCACAUAAUAAAUCAUACAAAUGUUCUCCACAAGUACACAGAGAAAGUUUUGGACAUUUAGCGACGAGAACGAAUUGGCACGACUUCGUGAGAAACAUAAUUUACAGUACAUUUCAAAACAUGCAGCCCACAUCGACGAAUAUCAGCGGUACAACUUUUUCCUGUCCCCGGAGGAAGAAAGGCUUCUACUAAAGCAAUACGAGCUGCACCUGAAAGAGUUCUGCAAGCGAUUCAGUCCUCCUAUGCCGAAAGGGGUAGUGGGCACUGCAUUCCAUUAUUUCAAAAGAUUUUACCUUUACAACUCUUCAAUGGAUUACCACCCUAAAGAAAUAUUGGCCACGUGCGUCUACUUGGCUUGCAAAGUGGAGGAAUUUAAUGUGUCCAUAGGCCAAUUUGUGGCCAAUAUCAAAGGAGACAGAGAGAAGGCUUCGGACAUAAUUCUGAACAAUGAAUUACUUUUGAUGCAGCAGCUAAAUUAUCAUUUGACUAUACACAAUCCAUUCCGGCCUGUGGAAGGUUUCUUGAUUGACAUUAAAACGAGGUGUAGUCUUGCCAACCCUGAGCGCUUAAGAAGUGGAAUUGACGAGUUUCUGGAAAAAGUUUUUCUUACUGAUGCGUGUUUGCUUUAUGCGCCUUCUCAGAUAGCGUUAGCCGCGGUUCUUCAUGCAGCCAGCAAAGAGCAAGAGAACUUGGAUAGUUACGUAACUGACAUGCUGUUUAGAGAUGCAGGCGAAGAUAAAUUGGCUAUAUUGAUUGAAGCUGUGAGAAAAAUUCGGUCUAUGGUUAAGAUGGUAGAAAGUCCAGCUCGGGAAAGAGUAAGGGUUAUAGAAAAGAAGUUAGACAGAUGCAGGAAUCAGGAGAAUAAUCCAGACAGUGAGAUUUACAAACGGAGGAUGCGGGAGGCACUCGAUGAGGAUGAUAUGCCAUACGGUGGGUCGAGUCGGAUGUCUUUGGACACGAGUGGAGUCACACAAGUGUUGUCUCCAUCGGCAUCAUAGUCAUGAUCUUAUGAUUUUUAUUUUUCGUAUGAAAGGACUGAUAAAUGAUGAAAUGAGCUUUUGAGUUAUGUUACUAUUAACUCUGUCAACCCUAAAGAGGGAUAAACAAUGGUGACUUAUAUCGGACACAUAUGCCAAAUUGCCUAGCAAUCCUACCUUAGUAGCAGUUACGUACAUUAGUUAAAGUGCCAACCGAAAUUCGUAUGAUAAGAAAACUUGCACUAAGAGGCAUCUGGAUGUGUUAUCAUGUUCUUGUAAGGUUUCCUGGUUAUACCUGACUC
Molecule: RNA transcript, 1401 nt
Organism: Amyelois transitella
Lineage: Eukaryota; Metazoa; Arthropoda; Insecta; Lepidoptera; Pyralidae
Gene: CycH
Gene name: cyclin-H
Exons: 2
Source: RefSeq, a predicted model, not a curated record